GACGAACGCUGGCGGCGUGCUUAACACAUGCAAGUCGAACGAUGAACCGGUUUCGGCCGGGGAUUAGUGGCGAACGGGUGAGUAACACGUGGGCAAUCUGCCCUGCACUCUGGGAUAAGCCCGGGAAACUGGGUCUAAUACCGGAUACGACACUCCGAGGCAUCUUGGGGUGUGGAAAGUUCCGGCGGUGCAGGAUGAGCCCGCGGCCUAUCAGCUUGUUGGUGGGGUAAUGGCCUACCAAGGCGACGACGGGUAGCCGGUCUGAGAGGGUGACCGGCCACACUGGGACUGAGACACGGCCCAGACUCCUACGGGAGGCAGCAGUGGGGAAUAUUGCACAAUGGGCGAAAGCCUGAUGCAGCGACGCCGCGUGAGGGAUGACGGCCUUCGGGUUGUAAACCUCUUUCAGCAGGGAAGAAGCGAAAGUGACGGUACCUGCAGAAGAAGCACCGGCUAACUACGUG
Molecule: ribosomal RNA, 464 nt
Filed under: uncultured bacterium
Lineage: Bacteria
Description: partial 16S ribosomal RNA
Rfam family: Bacterial small subunit ribosomal RNA
Source: RNAcentral